RNAcentral lists this ribosomal RNA (200 nucleotides) under uncultured type I methanotroph. RNAcentral describes it as "partial 16S ribosomal RNA". It matches the Rfam family "Bacterial small subunit ribosomal RNA", at positions 202 to 392 of the family's 1533-position model. The record is from RNAcentral. Lineage: Bacteria; Pseudomonadati; Pseudomonadota; Gammaproteobacteria; Methylococcales; Methylococcaceae.
AAGCGGGGGAUCUUCGGACCUCGCGCGGUUGGACGGACCGAUGUGCGAUUAGCUAGUUGGUAGGGUAAUGGCCUACCAAGGCGACGAUCGCUAGCUGGUCUGAGAGGAUGAUCAGCCACACUGGAAUUGAGACACGGUCCAGACUCCUACGGGAGGCAGCAGUGGGGAAUAUUGGACAAUGGGCGCAAGCCUGAUCCAGC